GUUGUGAGGUUAAGCGACUAAGCGUACACGGUGGAUGCCCUGGCAGUCAGAGGCGAUGAAGGGCGUACUAAUCUGCGAUAAGCGCCGGUAAGGUGAUAUGAACCGUUAUAACCGGCGAUACCCGAAUGGGGAAACCCAGUGUGAUUCGUCACACUAUCAUUAACUGAAUCCAUAGGUUAAUGAGGCGAACCGGGGGAACUGAAACAUCUAAGUACCCCGAGGAAAAGAAAUCAACCGAGAUUCCCCCAGUAGCGGCGAGCGAACGGGGAGGAGCCCAGAGCCUGAAUCAGCAUGUGUGUUAGUGGAAGCGUCUGGAAAGGCGCGCGAUACAGGGUGACAGCCCCGUACACAAAAGCGCAUGUGCUGUGAGCUCGAUGAGUAGGGCGGGACACGUGGUAUCCUGUCUGAAUAUGGGGGGACCAUCCUCCAAGGCUAAAUACUCCUGACUGACCGAUAGUGAACCAGUACCGUGAGGGAAAGGCGAAAAGAACCCCGGCGAGGGGAGUGAAAAAGAACCUGAAACCGUGUACGUACAAGCAGUGGGAGCCCCACCACCAAAGCAUUUGCUGUACCGCGUUGACGGAGCGAA
This 589-nucleotide ribosomal RNA is filed under the name Salmonella enterica subsp. enterica serovar Enteritidis. RNAcentral's name for it is "partial 23S ribosomal RNA". It matches the Rfam family "Bacterial large subunit ribosomal RNA", at positions 1 to 588 of the family's 2925-position model. Lineage: Bacteria; Pseudomonadati; Pseudomonadota; Gammaproteobacteria; Enterobacterales; Enterobacteriaceae. The record is from RNAcentral.